CCCUUAGACGUUCUGGGCCGCACGCGCGCUACACUGACGGAGCCAGCGAGUAUAAACCUUGGCCGAGAGGUCUGGGAAAUCUUGUGAAACUCCGUCGUGCUGGGGAUAGAGCAUUGUAAUUAUUGCUCUUCAACGAGGAAUUCCUAGUAAGCGCAAGUCAACAGCUUGCGUUGAUUACGUCCCUGCCCUUUGUACACACCGCCCGUCGCUACUACUGAUUGGAUGUUUAAGCGAGGUUCUCGAACUGCUAGCGACUUAGCUUCGGUGGGGUCGCAGUGUGGGAAGUGAACCUAGCUUUGGUGUCUAGAGGAAGUAAAAGUCGUAACA
This 327-nucleotide ribosomal RNA is filed under the name uncultured eukaryote. RNAcentral describes it as "partial 18S ribosomal RNA". It matches the Rfam family "Eukaryotic small subunit ribosomal RNA", at positions 1470 to 1796 of the family's 1831-position model. The record is from RNAcentral.